This 1343-nucleotide ribosomal RNA is filed under the name uncultured bacterium. RNAcentral describes it as "16S ribosomal RNA". It matches the Rfam family "Bacterial small subunit ribosomal RNA", at positions 28 to 1378 of the family's 1533-position model. The record is from RNAcentral.
GACGAACGCUGUUGGCGUGCUUAACACAUGCAAGUCGAACGGAAAGGCCCUGCUUUUGUGGGGUGCUCGAGUGGCGAACGGGUGAGUAACACGUGAGUAACCUGCCCUUGACUUUGGGAUAACUUCAGGAAACUGGGGCUAAUACCGGAUAGGAGCUCCUGCUGCAUGGUGGGGGUUGGAAAGUUUCGGCGGUUGGGGAUGGACUCGCGGCUUAUCAGCUUGUUGGUGGGGUAGUGGCUUACCAAGGCUUUGACGGGUAGCCGGCCUGAGAGGGUGACCGGCCACAUUGGGACUGAGAUACGGCCCAGACUCCUACGGGAGGCAGCAGUGGGGAAUAUUGCACAAUGGGCGGAAGCCUGAUGCAGCAACGCCGCGUGCGGGAUGACGGCCUUCGGGUUGUAAACCGCUUUCGCCUGUGACGAAGCGUGAGUGACGGUAAUGGGUAAAGAAGCACCGGCUAACUACGUGCCAGCAGCCGCGGUGAUACGUAGGGUGCGAGCGUUGUCCGGAUUUAUUGGGCGUAAAGGGCUCGUAGGUGGUUGAUCGCGUCGGAAGUGUAAUCUUGGGGCUUAACCCUGAGCGUGCUUUCGAUACGGGUUGACUUGAGGAAGGUAGGGGAGAAUGGGAUUCCUGGUGGAGCGGUGGAAUGCGCAGAUAUCAGGAGGAACACCAGUGGCGAAGGCGGUUCUCUGGGCCUUUCCUGACGCUGAGGAGCGAAAGCGUGGGGAGCGAACAGGCUUAGAUACCCUGGUAGUCCACGCUGUAAACGGUGGGUACUAGGUGUGGGGUCCAUUCCACGGGUUCCGUGCCGUAGCUAACGCUUUAAGUACCCCGCCUGGGGAGUACGGCCGCAAGGCUAAAACUCAAAGGAAUUGACGGGGCCCCGCACAAGCGGCGGAGCAUGCGGAUUAAUUCGAUGCAACGCGUAGAACCUUACCUGGGUUUGACAUGGAUCGGGAGUGCUCAGAGAUGGGUGUGCCUCUUUUGGGGUCGGUUCACAGGUGGUGCAUGCCUGUCGUCAGCUCGUGUCGUGAGAUGUUGGGUUAAGUCCCGCAACGAGCGCAACCCUUGUUCACUGUUGCCAGCACGUUAUGGUGGGGACUCAGUGGAGACCGCCGGGGUCAACUCGGAGGAAGGUGGGGAUGACGUCAAGUCCUCAUGCCCCUUAUGUCCAGGGCUUCACGCAUGCUACAAUGGCUGGUACAGAGAGUGGCGAGCCUGUGAGGGUGAGCGAAUCUCGGAAAGCCGGUCUCAGUUCGGAUUGGGGUCUGCAACUCGACCUCAUGAAGUCGGAGUCGCUAGUAAUCGCAGAUCAGCAACGCUGCGGUGAAUACGUUCCCGGG